Xiphophorus couchianus (Monterrey platyfish) is the source of this 761-nucleotide long non-coding RNA. RefSeq lists it as uncharacterized. The record is from RefSeq and is a predicted model, not a curated record. The transcript has 2 exons. Lineage: Eukaryota; Metazoa; Chordata; Actinopteri; Cyprinodontiformes; Poeciliidae.
GCUUAUUAGUGUGAAUGCUGUAGGCAUGUAUUUAUCAGAAGGAAUAGGGGAAAGUUUCUGUCCUUUUCAAAUUUUAGGGUUCACAUGAGUUUUUUUUUUUUUAACAUUUCAUGGAAUAUAUUACUGUAACCCAGCAUGCUAGUGGUAGCCUAUUUGCUAUCAUUAGUGUUUUAGCUUUUUAGCUAAUUUUGGCUUUUAUGUGGGUUUUUCACACUGCAUGGACUAUUUCUUACCUUUCUGCAAUUGGCUUCAAACGCUUUUGCCAUUUUCACCAAAAAGCAUUCAGCAUUGAGCAUUCACACUUGCAUUUUCAUAGGAAAUGCACACUUUCUAGUAUCUGUUUGUUUUUGUAAAUUCAAUGAAUUAAGUUUCAAGAUCUACAUUUUUAGUAUUUUUUUCUGGAUCAACAAAACUUACAAUAUGUCAUUUUCAUGUUUUUACACACUUCAAAAAACAUGUGUAUGUGGUUCUGCUUGCUUAGUUUUCAGAAGUUUCAUUCCCCUUGAUUUUUCCACAUUUUAUCAGGCUGCAAUCACAAAUUUAAAAAUAAAGUUGUGUGUAAUCCUUAAAUUCAAGGAGAUAGAUACAAGGUUUUCAGUUUUUUCCCCUCAUAAAAAUAUGAAAAUUGAUGUGUACAUUUGUAUUCAGGCCCCCUAUGUUAGUAUUGUGGAAACCACUUAACUCAAUUACCAGCUGCAAAUCUUUUGGAGUCUGUGUUUAUGGGCUCUGCUCAUAUAGAGAAUAAAACGGUUGUAUGUUAA